RNAcentral lists this long non-coding RNA (3334 nucleotides) under Olea europaea subsp. europaea. The record is from RNAcentral. Lineage: Eukaryota; Viridiplantae; Streptophyta; Magnoliopsida; Lamiales; Oleaceae.
CAUAAAUUUAAACGUGUGAAAGAGAGAGAGAAAAGGGAGGAGCAAAGCCGAUGAGACAGAGGAAAAUUCGACCGCCCACCGACAACCCAGACCAAAGGCUGCUUCUGCUCAGUGAAGAAGGUGAGUUUUGAAACUAUUUUUUACCAUUAAUCUUUGAAAUGGUGCAUGUUUGAUGUUUCUUUGGUGAAAAAUUAUUUUAAAAAUAGUUUUAGAACAUAAAUAAUGGAUCAAAUGAUGAUUUGGGUGAUUUAUUGGGGGCGGAGAUAGUAAAAUAUGACGAUCUUCGCCGUUUGCAGCCACCUCCGUCUGGAUCCAGACGGUAGAGUUCGAAAUUUCCAAACGCUGGGCCGUCUGGAGAUGGCCCAUUUCCAUGCCCCAGCCAAAAUUUUUUUUUGUAAUUAAUUUUUAAUAUAAUUCUUUAUUUAAAUAAUUAUUUUUAUUGUUUAUGUAUAUUAUUUUAAUUAAUAUUUAGUUAUUUUUUAAAUAUUUAAAUAAUUAUUUAAUUUGUUUAUGUAUAUUAUUUUUGUUUAAUAUUUAAUUAUGUAUAUAAUUUACUUGUGUAUUUAAAUAUUUCAUGAUUUAUAUUAAUUAUUUAUUUAAGAAAAAAUAAACAACGAAUGGAAAUAAAUUUUAAUUAAACAAUUAAAAUAAUUAAUGAAAAUAGUAAAUAACUAUUUGAAUUGACUUAAAUAAAUAAUUAAAUAUUAAACAAAUAAUAGACAUAAACAAUUCAAAUGAUUAUUUAAAAUUUCAAUAAAUAAUUACAUUAAAUAUUAAAAAAUAAUUAAAUUAAGUAUUUGAAAUAAAUAAAUGAAAUAACUAAUUUAAUAGUCAGUAAAUAAUAUACAUUAAAAAAUUAAAAUAAUUAAUGAUGUAUAUAAGUAAAAUAUUAAAUUAACAAUUUAAAUACGUAAUCAAAAUAAAUAAUUGAAUAAAGUAAUUCGAUAUUAAACAAAUAAUAUGCACAACAGAUGAAAAUAAUUAAGGAAAUAUUUAAAUAAAAAUUAAAUUAAAUGUUAAUUGAACAACUAAAAUAAAUAAUUUAAAUAAGUAAAUAAACAAUUUAACAAUUAAAUAUUCAAUAAAAAAUUAAAGCAAAUAAAUUUUGUUGACCAAAAAAUAUGAAUUAAUAUUUAAUUGUAACAAUAAAUAACUAAUUGAAAUAAAUUAAAUAAACAAUUAAAUUAAAUAUUAAUUAAUAUUUCUUUCAACACAAUUUAUUUAUUUUAGUUGUUUAUUUAUUUUGGUUAUGUAUAUUAUUUGUUUCUUAUUUAUUUACUUUAUUAAAUUAUUUAUUUUAUAUUUAAUUUAACUUAUUAUUUAAGUAUUUCAUAAAUUAUUUUGAUUGAUUAUGUAUAUUGUUUGUUCAAUAAUUAAUUAUUUAUUUAAAUUACUUAUUGAAUUGUUUAUUUAGUAUUUAUUUACUUUAUUUGAUUAUUUAUAUUAAUUACUUAGUUUAAUUAUUUUUUUAAUAUUUGAUUUAAAUAUUUCAUUAUUUAUUUGAAUUACUUAUUUUAGUUGCUAAAUUAAUAUUUAAUUUAAUUGUUUAUUUAAAUUUUUAAGUAAUUAUUUUAAUUGUUUAUAUAUAAUAUUUCCUUUAUUCCAUUAUCCGUUCAUUCUUGUGUGUAUUAGUUACAGUUUGGUUAGUUUAAUUUUCAAAUAUUGUGCUUUAUCCAUUGUCUCCUAUACAAAGUUCUAAAAUUUUCAAUUUUGCAGAUAUGGAUUAUCAUUUGGAUGUCGCCAUGAGAUAGAUUCCCCACAAAGUUAUAUCGAAUCGUAACUUUGUCAGCUUUACAGUAGUCUUAUAUCUGUUGGAUGAAGAGCACGCGGACAUGCUACGUAGAUCCUGCUUAUGACUGUUGUAUGCAUUGCGUGACGUACAAUUUUCUCUGGCCAGCUGCUCGAUGCAUUACCAUGUCGACUACUUCAGCCAGUUUUUGAUUGAGUUGUUAUCCAUUUUGAUUUUGGGGGCAAUGUCGCUACAUUUUCUAUAUUUGAGUUUACCCUCAUCACUGGAUUGAAAUGUACGGGUGAGGAAGCAGGGAGGGCUCGAGUUCCGAGUGACAGGAGGCUACCGAAUGAGUGCUUCAAUGGGCAGUCGACAGUGACUCUAGCACAGUUAGGAGACGCAUUCAGGGAAUGUGACGAUAUAUCUGACAGGUUGAAGUUGGGGAUGGUGUUCAUAUUGGAGGACGUACUGAGGUGUCAUCACAAGAAGACGUCGAUCGACGUCUUUCAUUUGGAGAUUGUUGAUGCUAUUGACACGUUCAACAACUAUCCAUGGGGACGACGGUGUUUUACUGAUACAUGUGGCGUCAUCAGGAGAUGAUAUUUGAUGCCUAAAUGGAGUAAGUUCGAGCGCAAGUACAAUGCAUACGACCUGCUACUGGCUUUGCAGGUAAAUGUUUACCGUAAUGAAUUAUCUAAACUUUUAUUGAAUUCAAUACAUAAUAAUUGUAAUUACUGCAGAUAUGGGUGUACGAGAUCGUCCCCAUCUUGGUUGGCCGGUAUGCGAGGAGAAAAAAGACAUGCUGCCAUCGGAUUCAUCACUGGGGAGCACAAGACAAGCCACUUGCGAAACAGUUAACAGCUAUCCUCGACGAUCCUGAGGUACGUAUUAUUCAUUUAAGAUUUAUAUUGUACGUCAUUUCGAAAUCUUAAUACAUGGUCAUGAACACGGUAAAAUGUCAAUAUGUUAGCGUCAGGAUGAGGUCACAACGCUGCAAGGAGAUAUAGCUGACAGGUGAUGGGGGCCGAAGACAGUGAUAGAGAGGGUAGUGAUACAGGGGUUGGCAUGUACACAGACGUUGAAUUAGAAUCGUUAUGUAUGUUAGUGGGGAUGGGAGAAGUGCCGGUGGAGGGGACGACCCUGAUCAUUCAUGCCUGACAGGUCAGUUCAAGCAAAAUUUGGAGUCGGUGCCUGUGAUCGUUCCAUUGAUGGCUAAACGAACAAACAUCAUUGUGCAGGACAAACUGACGAUUGUACGGGACACGAUGAUGACGAGGCAGCAAAUAUCGUAAGUGUUUGUAAUUUUUUUUUUAAUUUAAAACUUAGAUUCUAGUUACACGGUACUUAACUAAUACAAUAUUGUUUAAUUAUAGAGGUAUAGCAUCGUACAAGCGGUAGUUUAUAUAAGUAUAUCACGUAAGGUUUAUGCAAUCAAUCAGGCAUUGAUAUAAAAUUGGAAAAAGAAAUUAGCAUAUGAUUUAUUUCAAUUUAAUGGUGAUCCGUAAAUAUUGGACACGUACAUUUUUUUAUGAAAUAAUUGUACAUAUUGUAAUAUUUAUUUAAACAUUGUACAUCUCAUUCAUUCAUUUGUAAUUACGAAAUAAU